AGAGUUUGAUCCUGGCUCAGAGCGAACGCUGGCGGCAGGCUUAACACAUGCAAGUCGAGCGGGUGUAGCAAUACAUCAGCGGCAGACGGGUGAGUAACGCGUGGGAACGUACCUUUUGGUUCGGAACAACACAGGGAAACUUGUGCUAAUACCGGAUAAGCCCUUACGGGGAAAGAUUUAUCGCCGAAAGAUCGGCCCGCGUCUGAUUAGCUAGUUGGUGAGGUAAUGGCUCACCAAGGCGACGAUCAGUAGCUGGUCUGAGAGGAUGAUCAGCCACAUUGGGACUGAGACACGGCCCAAACUCCUACGGGAGGCAGCAGUGGGGAAUAUUGGACAAUGGGCGCAAGCCUGAUCCAGCCAUGCCGCGUGAGUGAUGAAGGCCCUAGGGUUGUAAAGCUCUUUUGUGCGGGAAGAUAAUGACGGUACCGCAAGAAUAAGCCCCGGCUAACUUCGUGCCAGCAGCCGCGGUAAUACGAAGGGGGCUAGCGUUGCUCGGAAUCACUGGGCGUAAAGGGUGCGUAGGCGGGUCUUUAAGUCAGGGGUGAAAUCCUGGAGCUCAACUCCAGAACUGCCUUUGAUACUGAAGAUCUUGAGUUCGGGAGAGGUGAGUGGAACUGCGAGUGUAGAGGUGAAAUUCGUAGAUAUUCGCAAGAACACCAGUGGCGAAGGCGGCUCACUGGCCCGAUACUGACGCUGAUGCACGAAAGCGUGGGGAGCAAACAGGAUUAGAUACCCCCGUAGUCC
RNAcentral lists this ribosomal RNA (744 nucleotides) under uncultured bacterium. RNAcentral describes it as "bacterial SSU rRNA". It matches the Rfam family "Bacterial small subunit ribosomal RNA", at positions 8 to 796 of the family's 1533-position model. The record is from RNAcentral.